UACGAGGGGUGCAAGCGUUGUUCGGAAUCACUGGGCGUAAAGGGAGCGUAGGCGGGAAUGCAAGCAAUCUGUACAAUCCCGGGGCCCAACCCCGGACCUGCAGAUUGGACUGUGUUCCUUGGAUAGUUCAGGGGCAGGCGGAAUUCCUGGUGUAGCGGUGGAAUGCGUAGAGAUCAGGAAGAACACCGAUGGCGAAGGCAGCCUGCUGGGGACUCAUCGACGCUGAGGCUCGAAAGCGCGGGUAGCAAAC
RNAcentral lists this ribosomal RNA (250 nucleotides) under uncultured prokaryote. RNAcentral describes it as "partial 16S ribosomal RNA". It matches the Rfam family "Bacterial small subunit ribosomal RNA", at positions 524 to 773 of the family's 1533-position model. The record is from RNAcentral.